AUUGAACGCUGGCGGCAGGCCUAACACAUGCAAGUCGAGCGGAUGAAGGGAGCUUGCUCCUGGAUUCAGCGGCGGACGGGUGAGUAAUGCCUAGGAAUCUGCCUGGUAGUGGGGGAUAACGUCCGGAAACGGGCGCUAAUACCGCAUACGUCCCGAGGGAGAAAGUGGGGGAUCUUCGGACCUCACGCUAUCAGAUGAGCCUAGGUCGGAUUAGCUAGUUGGUGGGGUAAAGGCCUACCAAGGCGACGAUCCGUAACUGGUCUGAGAGGAUGAUCAGUCACACUGGAACUGAGACACGGUCCAGACUCCUACGGGAGGCAGCAGUGGGGAAUAUUGGACAAUGGGCGAAAGCCUGAUCCAGCCAUGCCGCGUGUGUGAAGAAGGUCUUCGGAUUGUAAAGCACUUUAAGUUGGGAGGAAGGGCAGUAAGCUAAUACCUUGCUGUUUUGACGUUACCAACAGAAUAAGCACCGGCUAACUUCGUG
This 484-nucleotide ribosomal RNA is filed under the name uncultured bacterium. Its description in RNAcentral is "partial 16S ribosomal RNA". It matches the Rfam family "Bacterial small subunit ribosomal RNA", at positions 30 to 507 of the family's 1533-position model. The record is from RNAcentral.